GACGAACGCUGGCGGCGUGCUUAACACAUGCAAGUCGAACGGAAAGGCCCUGCUUUUGUGGGGUGCUCGAGUGGCGAACGGGUGAGUAACACGUGAGUAACCUGCCCUUGACUUUGGGAUAACUUCAGGAAACUGGGGCUAAUACCGGAUAGGAGCUCCUGCCGCAUGGUGGGGGUUGGAAAGUUUCGGCGGUUGGGGAUGGACUCGCGGCUUAUCAGCUUGUUGGUGGGGGAGUGGCUUACCAAGGCUUUGACGGGUAGCCGGCCUGAGAGGGUGACCGGCCACAUUGGGACUGAGAUACGGCCCAGACUCCUACGGGAGGCAGCAGUGGGGAAUAUUGCACAAUGGGCGGAAGCCUGAUGCAGCAACGCCGCGUGCGGGAUGACGGCCUUCGGGUUGUAAACCGCUUUCGCCUGUGACGAAGCGUGAGUGACGGUAAUGGGUAAAGAAGCACCGGCUAACUACGUG
RNAcentral lists this ribosomal RNA (468 nucleotides) under uncultured bacterium. RNAcentral describes it as "partial 16S ribosomal RNA". It matches the Rfam family "Bacterial small subunit ribosomal RNA", at positions 28 to 507 of the family's 1533-position model. The record is from RNAcentral.